GGUGGUAUAGUAUAGUGGCUAGUACAACACGUUGUGGUCGUAAGAACACAAGUGUUCCGUGUAGACCUGGGUUCGAUUCCCAGUACCGCCA
Xylariomycetidae sp. FL0641 is the source of this 91-nucleotide non-coding RNA. The record is from the annotation of a GenBank genome assembly. Lineage: Eukaryota; Fungi; Ascomycota; Sordariomycetes.